Molecule: unclassified non-coding RNA, 1940 nt
Filed under: Hevea brasiliensis (rubber tree)
Lineage: Eukaryota; Viridiplantae; Streptophyta; Magnoliopsida; Malpighiales; Euphorbiaceae
Source: RNAcentral
AAAAAAGCACACUUUUCCUCAUCUUCAGAGCAAUACAGUAAUGGAGGAGACAAAAAAUUCUCCUCCAAUACAAGGGGUAGUGAUAAUCACACUACCACCACCUGACAACCCUUCUUAUGGCAAAACCAUAACAGCAUUUACACUCUCAGAUUCACCCACUCAUCAGCAACAACAAGAACAAGAACAAGAAGAAGAACCACCACAACAAAGCCAACCGCAUAACCAAGAUGUAAAUGCAGGCGUUCUUCAUGUUUCCUUAGAAAGAUCCUUCUUUUUCCGCCCUACAAUCGUUUUUGGACUUCUGGGUAUCUCUCUGAUUGCCUUGUCUUUUUGGUCUUCACUUACGCAAGAGACCCUUUUCGAAUUACGUGAUGUGGAACAGGAUCAUAAGAGUUCCAACAGUUCGUUUAUUCUUCCUUUGUAUCCUAAGCGUGGUGGUGCCUGGAAUUCAAGGACGGAUGUUGAAUUCAAACUUGGGAGGUUUGUGGAUUUCAAACCGGAUAACUUUAUGGAUCAAGAAAAGAUUGCCAAGUCUCUUUCUGCUGCAACCAAGUUGGAUUCUUCUGCUAAUUUUCCUGUUAGGGGUAAUAUUCAUUCAGAAGGGUUGUACUACACAUAUAUGCUUGUUGGGAAUCCUCCUAAGCCUUAUUUUCUUGAUAUUGAUACGGGAAGUGAUUUGAUGUGGAUCCAAUGUGAUGCUCCAUGCACUAGUUGUGCCAAGGGAGCCCACCCCUUGUACAAGCCCAGAAAUGUCAAUAUGAUACCUCCCAAAAACCCAUAUUGUGUUGAGGUACAAGAGAAUCUGAGAUCCAAGUAUUGUGAUAACUGCCAUCAAUGUGAUUAUGAGAUAGAAUACGCUGACCGCAGCUCUUCUGUUGGGGUUCUUGCAAAGGAUGAACUUCAAUUGGUGCUUGCAAAUGGGACUGGAACCAAGCCAAAUGUUGUUUUCGGCUGUGCAUAUGAUCAGCAAGGCACACUUCUCAACACUUUAGCAAGCACUGAUGGGAUCCUAGGACUCAGCAGAGCUCCAAUCAGUUUGCCUUCUCAGCUAGCGAGUCAUGGGUUAAUCAACAAUGUUAUUGGACAUUGUCUUCGCACUGAUACAAAUGGGGGCUACUUGUUCCUAGGCAAUGACUUUGUCCCACAGUGGCGGAUGUCAUGGGUCCCUAUGCUGAAUAACCCUUUUCCUAAUCUUUAUCAAGCACAAUUGAUGAAAAUGAACUAUGGAGGCAAAGACCUUCAAUUAGGCAGCAGAGGCUAUGGACAAGAUUCUGUAGUGUUUGACAGUGGCAGUACUUAUACAUAUUUUACAGAUCAAGCAUACAAAGCUUUGAUUUCCAUGCUUGAAGAGAUUUCCAGUGAAGAUCUUAUCAAGGAUGCAUCAGAUACGACAUUACCCAUUUGCUGGCGAGCUAAAUUUCCAGUAAGAUCUAUUGAAGAGGUUAGACAAUUCUUCAAACCUCUAAACCUUCAAUUCGGAAGCAAGUGGCGUGUCGUGUCCACUAAGCUUUGGAUUCCUGCAGAAGGGUAUUUGACUAUAAGUGUGAGUAGUCCCUUGCUUUUUCUUGGUCAUUGGUACUUUGCCAUCUCCUCCCCCUCCUCUUUUGCUUCCUCUUCUAACCAACAAUGGAGAACUAUUAUACUGCAGGAAAAGAGUAAUGUGUGCUUAGGUAUACUUGAUGGAAGCAACGUUCACGAUGGCUCUGCUAUAAUACUUGGAGAUAUUUCACUACGUGGCCAGUUGUUCGUGUAUGACAACGUUAACCAGAAGAUUGGGUGGAUAAGAUCAAAUUGUGAACGGCCAGAGAACGUUCCCAGUCUUCCAUUUUUUUGAUAGAUAAACACUAAUAUAUAAUUUCUGUUUUAUAUGUUUGGGAAGAGGCUGUAUAUAUGUAUUCUGCUUUCUAAUGUAGAGCUAUGCUCAUAGUGUGCAUAUCCAA